ACCAGCUCUUGUAACAACGGUGUGCUGUGUCCGCCCCCAAAGACUGGGAGCUUGUUGAAGGCAAGGACCUGCCCUCAAAUUCUGCAUCCCACCCCAGACCCCAGUGUGAUGGCUGAGCCCAGAGUUAAUCAGCUAAUGGACUGGUUGGUAUGAAGCAGGAAACUGUUGUAGCCAUUUGGCACCACAGGAAAGCCAACAUAAAGACAAUAUUGAAGCCAAAAGGAGGACCGAGCUAAGAGAAGUGCCGACUCCCCAGAGCAGUCUACACAUGAAGCCCACUCUUCCAUGGAGCUUCCAGAAUGUUAGCUGGGUUGGUCCCAAAGCCCUCGGAAAAUGAAUGAAGCUGAGGUCAGCAGCGGGCAGCUCAGCACAUUAUUAUAAAUUCACUGGGGUUACUGAAAUCCAAUGCUGGACUCUUUCUGGUGAAAGACCCGGCUCUCCCAGGAAUGAAGAUUUUAAUGACAAACUGAGAAACGAGGUGCCCGUGCCCAGAACGCAAGGCCAUGGACUGGGAGGCAUGUGUUCCGGGCAGGGUCUUUUGGUGAGAAGAAACGCUAACAUUCUCUAGGACCCAGUGCAUUUCCUGUCUGCAGACCGAGCAUCUUAAGAUCUGAAUCCCUUUCCCCGCAACAUCUCACUUUCCCUCCCCCCUG
Herpailurus yagouaroundi (jaguarundi) is the source of this 653-nucleotide long non-coding RNA. RefSeq lists it as uncharacterized. NCBI's taxonomy places the organism in Eukaryota, Metazoa, Chordata, Mammalia, Carnivora, Felidae. The record is from RefSeq and is a predicted model, not a curated record. The transcript is spliced from 4 exons.